RNAcentral lists this long non-coding RNA (376 nucleotides) under Equus caballus (horse). Its description in RNAcentral is "lncRNA (ENSECAG00000052527.1)". The record is from RNAcentral. Lineage: Eukaryota; Metazoa; Chordata; Mammalia; Perissodactyla; Equidae.
GUCAGUGCCUUCUAAUAUUGGUACAACGACAAACCCGACCAACAACUGCUCCUAUAUUUCCAGAACUCUUUCCUUUACGUUACCUGGGAUACCCUUUUUGUGUGAGUGUGGUAGGAGUCAAAUCCUUCAGGGAAAUGUGCAGCGUUUUCGUUAUUUCUGUUUUAUCACGACUGGGCCCCGGACAGCAAGUUAUGGAGGCACUCUACUCCCACACCAAGCUGGCUGCUCUGAGGAAAGGAGGCAUCUUCACUAAGGAGGAGCAUGGAGAUGCGAAUUUUUCAGGUCAUCAUUUAAGACAAAGAUGCUGCCUUUUGCUUCUGCUGAGCACCCAAAGGCCAGAGCCAAGUGAUGACUCAGUCACUGUACCCAGCAACGA